GUUGUAUGGUUAAGUGACUAAGCGUACACGGUGGAUGCCUUGGCAGUCAGAGGCGAUGAAAGACGUAAUAACUUGCGAUAAGCCCAGAUUAGG
RNAcentral lists this ribosomal RNA (93 nucleotides) under Vibrio sp. UCD-FRSSP16_10. Its description in RNAcentral is "partial 23S ribosomal RNA". It matches the Rfam family "Bacterial large subunit ribosomal RNA", at positions 1 to 86 of the family's 2925-position model. The record is from RNAcentral. Lineage: Bacteria; Pseudomonadati; Pseudomonadota; Gammaproteobacteria; Vibrionales; Vibrionaceae.